This 433-nucleotide ribosomal RNA is filed under the name uncultured bacterium. RNAcentral's name for it is "partial 16S ribosomal RNA". It matches the Rfam family "Bacterial small subunit ribosomal RNA", at positions 29 to 507 of the family's 1533-position model. The record is from RNAcentral.
AACGAACGCUGGCGGCAUGCCUAACACAUGCAAGUCGAACGAGACCUUCGGGUCUAGUGGCGCACGGGUGCGUAACGCGUGGGAACCUGCCCUUAGGUUCGGAAUAACUCCCCGAAAGGGGUGCUAAUACCGGAUAAUGUCUUCGGACCAAAGAUUUAUCGCCUUUGGAUGGGCCCGCGUUGGAUUAGCUAGUUGGUAGGGUAAAAGCCUACCAAGGCGACGAUCCAUAGCUGGUCUGAGAGGAUGAUCAGCCACACUGGGACUGAGACACGGCCCAGACUCCUACGGGAGGCAGCAGUGGGGAAUAUUGGACAAUGGGCGAAAGCCUGAUCCAGCAAUGCCGCGUGAGUGAUGAAGGCCUUAGGGUUGUGAAGCUCUUUUACCCGGGAUGAUAAUGACAGUACCGGGAGAAUAAGCACCGGCUAACUCCGUG